AACAAGGCGUACCUGCGGACCUGCGGAAGGAUCAUUACAGAGUUGCAAAACUCCCUAAACCAUUGUGAACGUUACCUAAACCGUUGCUUCGGCGGGCGGCCCGGGUCCUUCCCGGCGCCCCUCGGCCCUCGCGGGCGCCCGCCGGAGGUAAACCAAACUAUUGCAUUGUAUGGCCUCUCUGAGUCUUCUGUACUGAAUAAGUCAAAACUUUCAGCAACGGAUCUCAGAUCGGAAGAGCAC
This 240-nucleotide unclassified non-coding RNA is filed under the name soil metagenome. Its description in RNAcentral is "partial contains 5.8S ribosomal RNA, internal transcribed spacer 2, and large subunit ribosomal RNA". The record is from RNAcentral.